UCGGAUAUGGUGUAGUGGCUAACAUUAUCGCCUCUCAAUUCGGAUCCAGGGAAUUGAACCCUGAGUUCUAAAAAUAGAUACGCGAUAGCCCGGGGUUCGAUUCCCCGUAUCCGAA
Molecule: transfer RNA, 115 nt
Organism: Schizopora paradoxa
Lineage: Eukaryota; Fungi; Basidiomycota; Agaricomycetes; Hymenochaetales; Schizoporaceae
Rfam family: tRNA
About the family: Transfer RNA (tRNA) molecules are approximately 80 nucleotides in length. Their secondary structure includes four short double-helical elements and three loops (D, anti-codon, and T loops).
Source: Rfam